RNAcentral lists this long non-coding RNA (474 nucleotides) under Citrus x clementina. Its description in RNAcentral is "Citrus clementina (C. clementina) long non-coding RNA (CCLE_LNC002416)". The record is from RNAcentral. Lineage: Eukaryota; Viridiplantae; Streptophyta; Magnoliopsida; Sapindales; Rutaceae.
UAAUAAAAAUACAGAAAGAACUUAAAUAAGUCAUAUCAAAUAGGCACUGAAUUCUUAUCCCUUUAUCUAAACCUUAUUUUGGGCAUUGGCUUAGCUAAUGACGCCAAGGAUGUCCUUAUCAGCAAUGUCCUUGUUAAUAUUUACAAUCUUAUCAUUUGCUUAGCUUAAAUAAGGCUCAUUACAUACUGGUUUAAGUAUUUUUUCUUAUUUAAUGGAAUCCCCUUAUAUUGUCACGUUGGGUGCAUCUCAUUUAGGGGUUCAAAAGCCCAAGGUCUAAAAAUGCAUGCUUAAUGUGCAAUUAAUAUUAAAAUUUGGACUUGGAUGAAAUUUGUCAUGAAAUUAGGUUUUGAAAACGUGGCUAUAUAAAGAAAAAUAAAGGAAAAAGGAUAUCUACGGGGAAAUGGUUACCAAGAAGACCCCUUUUUUACCAUUAUACCCUUUAUCUCUAUAAGCCUCAAAAAUUGACUCUAAUAU